CCUACGGGUGGCAGCAGUGGGGAAUAUUGCGCAAUGGGCGAAAGCCUGACGCAGCGACGCCGCGUGAGGGAUGACGGUCUUCGGAUCGGAAACCUCUGUCAGCAGGGAAGAACGGUCACUGUGCUAAUCAGCAGUGAAUUGACCGUACCUGCAAAGGAAGCACCGGCUAACUCCGUGCCAGCAGCCGCGGUAAUACGGAGGGUGCGAGCGUUGGUCGGAAUUACUUGGCGUAAAGCGCUCGUAGGCGGUAUGUGAAGUCAAGGGUGAAAUCCCCGCGCUCAACGUGGGAACUGCCUUUGAAACUGGCAAACUGGAGUGUGAGAGAGGAUAGUGGAAUGCCAGGUGUAGGAGUGAAAUCCGUAGAUAUCUGGAGGAACAUCAGUUGCGAAGGCGACUAUCUGGCACAUAACUGACGCUGAGGAGCGAAAGCGUGGGUAGCAAACAGGAUUAGAUACCCCUGUAGUC
This 465-nucleotide ribosomal RNA is filed under the name uncultured bacterium. RNAcentral's name for it is "partial 16S ribosomal RNA". It matches the Rfam family "Bacterial small subunit ribosomal RNA", at positions 338 to 795 of the family's 1533-position model. The record is from RNAcentral.